Molecule: ribosomal RNA, 1562 nt
Filed under: Vibrio natriegens
Lineage: Bacteria; Pseudomonadati; Pseudomonadota; Gammaproteobacteria; Vibrionales; Vibrionaceae
Description: bacterial SSU rRNA
Rfam family: Bacterial small subunit ribosomal RNA
Source: RNAcentral
AAAUUGAAGAGUUUGAUCAUGGCUCAGAUUGAACGCUGGCGGCAGGCCUAACACAUGCAAGUCGAGCGGAAACGAGUUAACCGAACCUUCGGGGGACGUUAACGGCGUCGAGCGGCGGACGGGUGAGUAAUGCCUAGGAAAUUGCCCUGAUGUGGGGGAUAACCAUUGGAAACGAUGGCUAAUACCGCAUGAUGCCUACGGGCCAAAGAGGGGGACCUUCGGGCCUCUCGCGUCAGGAUAUGCCUAGGUGGGAUUAGCUAGUUGGUGAGGUAAGGGCUCACCAAGGCGACGAUCCCUAGCUGGUCUGAGAGGAUGAUCAGCCACACUGGAACUGAGACACGGUCCAGACUCCUACGGGAGGCAGCAGUGGGGAAUAUUGCACAAUGGGCGCAAGCCUGAUGCAGCCAUGCCGCGUGUGUGAAGAAGGCCUUCGGGUUGUAAAGCACUUUCAGUCGUGAGGAAGGUAGUGUGUUUAAUAGAUGCAUUAUUUGACGUUAGCGACAGAAGAAGCACCGGCUAACUCCGUGCCAGCAGCCGCGGUAAUACGGAGGGUGCGAGCGUUAAUCGGAAUUACUGGGCGUAAAGCGCAUGCAGGUGGUUUGUUAAGUCAGAUGUGAAAGCCCGGGGCUCAACCUCGGAAUAGCAUUUGAAACUGGCAGACUAGAGUACUGUAGAGGGGGGUAGAAUUUCAGGUGUAGCGGUGAAAUGCGUAGAGAUCUGAAGGAAUACCGGUGGCGAAGGCGGCCCCCUGGACAGAUACUGACACUCAGAUGCGAAAGCGUGGGGAGCAAACAGGAUUAGAUACCCUGGUAGUCCACGCCGUAAACGAUGUCUACUUGGAGGUUGUGGCCUUGAGCCGUGGCUUUCGGAGCUAACGCGUUAAGUAGACCGCCUGGGGAGUACGGUCGCAAGAUUAAAACUCAAAUGAAUUGACGGGGGCCCGCACAAGCGGUGGAGCAUGUGGUUUAAUUCGAUGCAACGCGAAGAACCUUACCUACUCUUGACAUCCAGAGAACUUUUCAGAGAUGAAUUGGUGCCUUCGGGAACUCUGAGACAGGUGCUGCAUGGCUGUCGUCAGCUCGUGUUGUGAAAUGUUGGGUUAAGUCCCGCAACGAGCGCAACCCUUAUCCUUGUUUGCCAGCGAGUAAUGUCGGGAACUCCAGGGAGACUGCCGGUGAUAAACCGGAGGAAGGUGGGGACGACGUCAAGUCAUCAUGGCCCUUACGAGUAGGGCUACACACGUGCUACAAUGGCGCAUACAGAGGGCGGCCAACUUGCGAAAGUGAGCGAAUCCCAAAAAGUGCGUCGUAGUCCGGAUUGGAGUCUGCAACUCGACUCCAUGAAGUCGGAAUCGCUAGUAAUCGUGGAUCAGAAUGCCACGGUGAAUACGUUCCCGGGCCUUGUACACACCGCCCGUCACACCAUGGGAGUGGGCUGCAAAAGAAGUAGGUAGUUUAACCUUCGGGGGGACGCUUACCACUUUGUGGUUCAUGACUGGGGUGAAGUCGUAACAAGGUAGCGCUAGGGGAACCUGGCGCUGGAUCACCUCCUUAUACGAUGAU